Molecule: ribosomal RNA, 433 nt
Filed under: uncultured bacterium
Lineage: Bacteria
Description: partial 16S ribosomal RNA
Rfam family: Bacterial small subunit ribosomal RNA
Source: RNAcentral
AACGAACGCUGGCGGCAUGCCUAACAUAUGCAAGUCGAACGAGACCUUCGGGUCUAGUGGCGCACGGGUGCGUAACGCGUGGGAACCUGCCCUUAGGUUCGGAAUAACUCCCCGAAAGGGGUGCUAAUACCGGAUAAUGUCUUCGGACCAAAGAUUUAUCGCCUUUGGAUGGGCCCGCGUUGGAUUAGCUAGUUGGUAGGGUAAAAGCCUACCAAGGCGACGAUCCAUAGCUGGUCUGAGAGGAUGAUCAGCCACACUGGGUCUGAGACACGGCCCAGACUCCUACGGGAGGCAGCAGUGGGGAAUAUUGGACAAUGGGCGAAAGCCUGAUCCAGCAAUGCCGCGUGAGUGAUGAAGGCCUUAGGGUUGUAAAGCUCUUUUACCCGGGAUGAUAAUGACAGUACCGGGAGAAUAAGCUCCGGCUAACUCCGUG